Molecule: ribosomal RNA, 373 nt
Filed under: uncultured bacterium
Lineage: Bacteria
Description: bacterial SSU rRNA
Rfam family: Bacterial small subunit ribosomal RNA
Source: RNAcentral
AGAGUUUGAUCCUGGCUCAGAUUGAACGCUGGCGGCAUGCCUUACACAUGCAAGUCGAACGGUAACAGCACUUCGGUGGCUGACGAGUGGCGAACGGGUGAGUAAUACAUCGGAACGUGCCCGAGAGUGGGGGAUAACGCAGCGAAAGCUGUGCUAAUACCGCAUACGAUCUACGGAUGAAAGCAGGGGACCGCAAGGCCUUGCGCUCAUGGAGCGGCCGAUGGCAGAUUAGGUAGUUGGUGGGAUAAAAGCUUACCAAGCCGACGAUCUGUAGCUGGUCUGAGAGGACGACCAGCCACACUGGGACUGAGACACGGCCCAGACUCCUACGGGAGGCAGCAGUGGGGAAUUUUGGACAAUGGGCGAAAGCCUG